AUGGCAGCAACUCUCUAGGCAACUGCUGAAUUUAUAAGAAUACAGAUGGUGCCUGCCAUUUCUUUUUUUCAGCACCACACUGCAUUCCUCAUCUGACAUGUGGAACUUGUUUGGUACCAUAAUGCAGCAGCUGGAGACACUUUUCUUAGAGAUCUGGAAGACAGAUGUAAAACACCUGUAGGAUGGCUCCCCUUGGUCCUGUUUCUUGACUUUGGCAGGAGCAAACACUUGGUACACGGGUCAGGUGCCCAGAGAGAGGCUGAUGAAGAAACCACAGUGACACCAUUCAGGACGUUGCUAAAUCGCUUCCCCCAUUAACUGGUGACAUUUGAGUUAAACUAAUGAGAAGCAUGUCUGCUGCAAUGCAGUACACAUUUAUUCUUGGAGACUGCUUUCUUCAGCUUAUUUACUGUUUUACCAACACUCUUAGUCACCAUUACAGCUGAUUAAUGAUGCCUUUCAUUAAAGGGAAACUAUUACAGACAUCCUUAUUUGAUCUACUUUGAAACUUUUCUAUUUCUGAUCAUCGUCUUCUGUCCUUCCUUUCUCCUCCUUCUCAUCUUUUCUCAGAAAUGAUAAGUGAGGCAAGAGAUAAUGCCUUCGCAGCCUUUGAGCAAUGGCUGUACAUAUGGCACAUGGUGAAAAUCAGACAAAAAAGUAAAGUGAUAUUCUUGAUAAAACAGGUACUUCUACAUUAAUAAUCUGCCAUCAUCUAAAUUGCCAUAAAAUCCUCAGCUAGACUGAUAUAAUCCUAAUGCCUUUUGCACAAUAGGCAGCUUUUAAAGUACAAAACUAUAUCUCUUCUCUGAUAUAAUCUGUCUUUUAGCAGAACUUGCUGUAUAAGGGAUGGCCUCAGGAUUUCUACACCUGGGGAUGUUCAGCUGCUUGCUUUAGGCUUAUCUGACCUUGCCUCUUUUAUAAGUAGCUCUCUAAAAGGAGUUUUUAGUAAUAUUAGAAGUGCAAAACACUCCGUUCCAAUUUUUUUUUAUUUAACAAAACUCAUGCAUGUGUGUUCUGAGGAUUUUUCCAGAAUUCUGGACAGACCCAUGGAUCUUCUGGAUGGGAAGCAGUGGCUGUACCCCCAUCAGGGGAUGUCUUUUUGAAACCAAUUGACUCCAUUUGAUUUUCUAUGCUGAUGUCUCAUUUUAUACAAUGAAAAUAAAAGGUGUAUUUUGGGCAUUUUUUCCCCACUUUUAUAAGUACCUUCAGUCCUUGGUGUUUCUCAAGACAUCUACAUUUAAUAGCAGGAAUUCCUGGAAAAGCAAAGUGAAGACACUUUCUGGGGCUUUAGCAUUCCCCUCUCUCUGAUAUGCCAGUGUGCAGAGAGCAUGGCUUUUCCAAACCUCUAUCCACUGAAAGUUAACCAGUCACAGUUCAGCUUUGUCUGAUUGGGAAGGAAGAGCAGGGACUACACAACAGAAAGAAAAGCACAUUUUCAGAAGAAUGUGUAGAUCAAUUAUGUCUUGUUCCUAUGACUUUUUCAUAAAGAACAUAUCAUCCAGCUCAUAAAUGCCCAAAAAUAUUCAGCCUACUGCAAAGACAGCAUCUUAACACCAUGCUAGAGAGAUGAGGUAAUGAGAAAUACCUCUCUUUUCUCACAGGUAUCAAGUUACAAAUAUUUUACACCAUGAUUCAUCAGCUAUGUUUGACUUGCAAUUUAUCUACUCAGUUUGCUACUAUUCAUCUUUCUUCCUUAUGCCAUGCUGUCUCCUUGUAUUCUUGAGCAAUAUCUUCCUCCUCCUAGGUUUGAUUUCCUUUCACCCCAAAUCAAGGGAAAUAAAGGCUUGGCAACAUGUCAAUGAGGUAUCUGGAUUGAGGAAAAAAUGAGAAAGGUAAAAAAGCGAAGGUUUCCAGAGAUGUGAUAUUUUGACAGAACAAUUUUAUUCCAUGGUAGAAGGCAGUCUGAUAGGUAAAAUAUUUUUAAAUACCUCUUUGCAGUGGUGCACACAAAUAGAGGCAAAAUCUCUUAUGAAGCCUUUAUCUGAUUUAUUUCUCUGCACCAAUCACUGUUAUACUUAAACCUUACAGGCAACUGUUCCUAUAACACAUUUUCCCAAUUCUUUAAGCAUCUCUUAUGUCUUUGUCCAAUACUAAGGAUGUGGCUGUGCACUCAUGACCCAGAACUGCUCAGCAAAAUAUUUUUUGGAAGUUACUCAGUAAUACAUAGGUAUGGUGCAUUUUCUGUUUGAAAAAGGAAAGACUUUACCCCUGGAAUUGAAGCUACAAUUGAAGACAUUGUACCUGUGAGCAGCUUCUUGAAUAUGACAGAGGAGAGUGUGUGAGGAAUAAGAGUGCAGUGAAUGGCUUCCCAAGGACAGGAGCUGUUUGCAGCCUUUCUCACUCAUAAACAAUAUUUCUGUUACCCACCAGACACAACUGGGUGAUUACUAAAUGUGGAACAUGAGAAAUCAAAUCAAGAUGGUGUUAUGGAGCUCAGUGGACUGUGGUAUUAGAAAUGCGCUUUACUUAAACAGCACUGAAUUUUUAUUACCUUUAGUCAGAGAAAGACACAACAUGAUGCAAAGAAUUUUCUUGUGAUGUCCAAAAUGUAUUUUUAAGCUUAGUUCUUUGUGAAUGUUCUCAUUUCCACAACUCCUGAGUGUUUUGUUUAUAUGAUUUUCCUGAUCAUUGCAAUGUCUUAAAGCAUUACAGCCUCUUAGGGACAUGGAAUUUGCAAAGUGUGUCAUAAUCACAGUAAAGGCAAGACAAAGUUCUGUGGUAAUACAGUGCUCUGGUUCAGUAUAUGAGCACAAGGUCAAUAAGCAGUACAUUGAUGAACAUUCAGUCUGCACUGAGGUGAGAGGAGUAAGACACACUUAAAACAAAUGCUGCAGCUGAGACAUUUUCAACAAAUAAUUUGUGUCCCAGUAGUGGUUUACCUCAGUUGCCCUUUACAUUCUAUGAGGAAAACCUGCACUGCAAAUAUCAGCAUUUGCCUUUGUUUAACAGUGGGAGUGAGCACAGAUUUAAAACUAAAAAAGACAAAACAUAUCAGGGACACCUCAUUCACAAUCCCUUCAAAUCACAGAGGACUUUGUAGUGCUUCAGAUGAUAUAUUGUUCCCCGUACUGCCAUUUCCCAGGUUUAUACAGUCUUCAAAAUUUCUUAUAUUCAUUUUAGAAAGCUCAUUAUACAUUAUAAACAAUUAUGCUCAGCUCUUUUCUCAAAGAUUUAUUCUUUCAAUUUUUUUACCAUCGGUUGUGGCUUUGAACACCACCUUAUCUGCUCAGCACCUGAUAGUUAAGGGAAUUACACAGAACUUGCUAAAACAGCACAUGGUUUGACUUGAUGGUGAUGCACAUGGUGAUGACUUGAAUUUAACCUUAACACAUCCUUGUCAACGCUGGGGCCAAUGCCUUAAUAUAAAUAUCUACUUAUAUGCUCUGAUUGGGGUUUAUUUAGCUGCAGAGAACCUUGUCAAGCACAAGAGUUGGCUGCAGAUCAAUAGCUGCAUGAGCCCAGCCUGCUCUCCUGGACUUUUCUGGGUGAUUAGUUUUGCACCAGGGUCUGCUGGCAGCCUGCCCAUGGCACAUGUUGGGCCAGGGAAUCUCUUUGAACUGCCUGGCAUUUGGGUGGGAAAAUUGUUUACUGUCUUUGGAAAUUCUCAUGUGGAAAUUCUUAUGUUCUAUCUUAUGAGAUAUUUCUAUGAAGAAGAAUCUCAUAUUAGUUAUUUUUUAAAAUACUAAAGAGAAAAGUUGAUGAUUUAGUUCUGGUUGUAAACUGGAGAUACAUAAAUAAGUAAAGUUUAUUCAGGGUUUCAGAUGAAAUGAUAAGGCAUGAAGCUAAACGUUUUUUUUAAACUUUUACCCUCUUCUUCUUUCUUAAUGUAUCAAUACGGAAUGAGUAGCAUAUCUUCAUUUUUAUCUGUGGGAAUAAUCUGCACCUUUCCCCUCCACUUCUUUCUUUAUCUUCCCUCACUCUCUUCUUUUUGCAAAUUGUUAUGCUCCAGGUACACUUAUGGGCACUGUAAUAAAAUUCAAUAAUGCAUUUCAAAAUGUUAUACUUCUGGAAAAUUUAAAACUGCAGAGAGUUCCAAAAGUUAGGCAGCAAAAAUGAAAUAGAUUUUAAUCUAAAAACAUCAUAGAUUUCACUUCUGCUAUUAAAAAUUUUCACAAAAGAAUAAAGAAAAAUGGGAAAGUGU
Long non-coding RNA from Zonotrichia albicollis (white-throated sparrow), 4141 nucleotides. RefSeq lists it as uncharacterized. Lineage: Eukaryota; Metazoa; Chordata; Aves; Passeriformes; Passerellidae. The record is from RefSeq and is a predicted model, not a curated record.